RNAcentral lists this ribosomal RNA (446 nucleotides) under uncultured bacterium. RNAcentral describes it as "partial 16S ribosomal RNA". It matches the Rfam family "Bacterial small subunit ribosomal RNA", at positions 338 to 795 of the family's 1533-position model. The record is from RNAcentral.
CCUACGGGUGACAGCAGUCGAGAAUCAUUCACAAUGGGGGAAACCCUGAUGGUGCGACGCCGCGUGGGGGAAUGAAGGUCUUCGGAUGGUAAACCCCUGUCAUGUGGGAGCAAAUUAAAAAGAUAGUACCACAAGAGGAAGAGACGGCUAACUCUGUGCCAGCAGCCGCGGUAAUACAGAGGUCUCAAGCGUUGUUCGGAAUCACUGGGCGUAAAGCGUGCGUAGACUGUUUCGUAAGUCGUGUGUGAAAGGCGCGGGCUCAACCCGCGGACGGCACAUGAUACUGCGAGACUAGAGUAAUGGAGGGGGAACCGGAAUUCUCGGUGUAGCAGUGAAAUGCGUAGAUAUCGAGAGGAACACUCGUGGCGAAGGCGGGUUACUGGACAUUAACUGACGCUGAGGCACGAAGGCCAGGGGAGCGAAAGGGAUUAGAUACCCCAGUAGUC